GUUUUUUCCCCAGUAUUUGUAGGAGGCCACCAGAGAGACAGGAUUGCAAGGUUUUAAAUAUGCUAGUGUCAUGAAGUCAUGGAUUUUCUACCUGAAACAGAUAGUGCGACUGCCCUGCUAUAGCCAUGUUUGGCCAGUGUAGGAAUUUUGAGAACAGUGAACACUUAAUACUCAGAUGGCAUUUUGCCACCCUGACAAGGACCAUACCUGCCAUUCCAUUGUAGUUCGCCUUGCCCAGAAGUUUUAAAAUUUUUCUUUCAGCCUGGGAUUUCAAGUGUACUACAGCAUCCUCUUCACCUAUACAAGCGUCUGUUGUUUUAAAAGGAAACUGAUUUGUUUAUUUAAGGACAACCUGAGAUUGCAAGAUCACAUGUUCUAAUUUGUGCUUCUGAAAAUGGGGCCCUUGGAACCAUAAGAGCUUCCCCCAUUUCCCUUGGCUUCUCCUCCCUUUGCCUUCACUUACCUCCAGCAGAUGCCAAUGUAGAUCCAUAAUCCUUUCUCUGAAACCUUUGGAGCCAAAUGUGGAUUGGAACUCAAGAUGGAUUGGAACUCAAGACUUUUGAAGGGAAACACAGAACUCCUCUCAUGAAGUGGGAUGAAUAAAGACCACAAGCAGCCUCAUACGUGUUCAGUUCAGGUUCUGCUACCAGAUGACAUUGCCAGAUUUGUGAAUUAAAAACUCAAGAGUUUCAGAGCUCUUUGGAUUUUGAAAUUGUGAACAAAGGAUAGAGAAUCCUUGGUAGCUUCAUCGUUUAAAAAUUGGUUGGCAAAACUACUCUUUCUCAGACUUUACCAGUUUUUCUCAUCCUUGUAACAAAAUCAUAAGUAACAUGAAAAACCAAUUUCCAUGAUCAGUUGCUUUCUGAAUAUUAAUACUUUCAAUGUGGUCAGAAAUGGAAACCCCAGAUAACCCUAGUUUAUUUUUUUAAUGGCAAAACUAAAAUAGAUUCAAACAAACAAACAAACAAACAAACAAACAGACAGACAGACAUUUAGAAGCUAUAUCAUUGAAUCCUGGUGGCUCAAGUUCAGAAAUCUAAACAGCCGCCUUGAACCUAAGGUGAGCCAUUUUGUUAACCCAUGGUCAUCCUAUUAACUCCGUUCUUCAGCCUUCAGACAUCUUUUCCCCCCUCUAAUUGUAAGUUAUAUAGUUUUCAUAGUUGGAUUGGCUGAAUUUCUCUUAGAUUGUCCUUGCUGGGGUUCCUGGGGUUAGGCGGGCUUGCUGAAGAGACCAUAUGGGUAAAUGUUACGUGACCUCACUGUUUUUAUAGGCUGGUGAGGCCCAAGAGACGUUGAGUUCUGUGCAUUUAUUUUCUCAUUAGGUUAGCUACUUACUGUUUUAGGACAGAUUUUCUCCCUGUGUACUUCUCAGAACAUGUGAUAUAGUUGGUGGGUGGUAAAAAAAGAAAAAAAUCUCCUUUCUUUUUAAAAUAGUUCAUAGUAGAAUUUGCUUUGGGGAGGAAUGGGCUUGAAAAUAUCUUUUUUUAAAAAAUUAAAAAAAUGGAUGUUUAUUUACCAUCAAUCUUAUUUCCAUCUUGCUUAAGAGCCCAUGGAAGAACAACUUAAAAUCACUUGGUGGUGGUUCCUACCCCUUCAGUGGCCUGAGUCAGGGGAGCUGCAGACCAUUCUUCCAUGGCAGGUUGAAUGCUGUAGUUUUCAGUCAAAACCUGCUGAAUGGCCACAGGGGCACCUGCUUGCCUUCAGACCAGUCUGCAACCUCUGGUUGAGUAGCAGUGGAGUCAGGAGCUAGGGUAGUCCAUUCACUCUGAAAUUCCUCCUUGGUCACAGUCUUUUCAGCAGCAGCCUGUUCUUCCUUUUCAAUCUCUUCAGGAUCUCUAUGGAAGUAGAAAUCAGGCAUGACCUUGAUGAGUGUUCACAGGAGAUGGUGCCACUUGUGUGCAGAACUUCCCGGGCCAGUCUCCACCACAUCAGACCCACUGAGUGAACUCCCUUGUUGUUGCAUGGGAUGGAGAUGCCCACAGAGCACCGAGGAGAAUCUGUGGAACACAGAGCAAUGGUAGGCAGGUUACCAUAAGAUGUCUCUGUGAAAACUGGUGGUUAGCCCUGGGAUCAGUAACCACCAAAAAACACGGCUCCUGGAAGGCUGCCUGGAUUGGGUUAGUGAAGGUUCCAGGAGUAAAGCAGCUAGCAAUAGGAUUUACUCCAGUGGCAGUAGCAAAUUUGAGCACAACCCACCGGCCAGGAUUCCUGGAGGACAUGACACUGACAUCAGCAGGGUUUUCAAUGGCAACAAUAGAUGAGCUGCCAGCAGAAGCUUCUCCCAGAUCCUCUUCAGACUGAUGAUGUAGAUGCUGUCACUUUUCCUCUGGAAAUCAAGGUUGGUGCCACCUAAGUGAGUUCCUGCUGCAAGGAAUUUAAGGACAUCCUCCUCCUUCAGUUGCAGGACAUCAAGGGCUUUGGACAUUGUAAAAGUUUCCCUUUAAGCUACAGGAAUCUAGAAUACAUCUUGAUGGAGCAUUUGGGAAUGAAAAAUCCUAUCCCCAUGAUAGGACUGAGAAGUCUUAGGGCAGAACAAAUGGAAGGUAGAAUGAUUUUUCAUUUAAAACAAAAUUGCUGAUAGGGGCAGGGGUCAUAUAGGAGAGAGAAUGACUGAGCAAUGUGAGAAAUCAGCAGAGAGACUAUAGAACUAGGUUGACUGUUAUUCAGAUCUAAUUGUUUAUGGGUCAACUGUGCAAACCCUGUAUAUUUCCUAACUUCUCUAAACUUUCUAUAAAACCUGCUACCCAAA
This is an RNA transcript of Pan troglodytes (chimpanzee), 2749 nucleotides long. RefSeq lists it as uncharacterized. NCBI's taxonomy places the organism in Eukaryota, Metazoa, Chordata, Mammalia, Primates, Hominidae. The transcript has 4 exons. The record is from RefSeq and is a predicted model, not a curated record.